GUCUGUCAGUGAUGAGACCACGGAACUUGCGUCAGGCAUGGCGCCCGAGACUUAUGAGGAUAUCAUCCAUGCUGCCUUCCUUCUGAGACUGCAC
RNAcentral lists this small nucleolar RNA (94 nucleotides) under Mastacembelus armatus (zig-zag eel). RNAcentral describes it as "Small nucleolar RNA U83B (ENSMAMG00000020761.2)". It matches the Rfam family "Small nucleolar RNA U83B". From Rfam's summary of the family: U83B belongs to the C/D family of snoRNAs. Lineage: Eukaryota; Metazoa; Chordata; Actinopteri; Synbranchiformes; Mastacembelidae. The record is from Rfam by way of RNAcentral.